RNAcentral lists this ribosomal RNA (242 nucleotides) under uncultured bacterium. Its description in RNAcentral is "partial 16S ribosomal RNA". It matches the Rfam family "Bacterial small subunit ribosomal RNA", at positions 92 to 334 of the family's 1533-position model. The record is from RNAcentral.
CGACCGGCGCACGGGUGCGUAACGCGUAUGCAACCUACCUUUAACAGGGGGAUAACACUGAGAAAUUGGUACUAAUACCCCAUAAUAUCAUAGAAGGGCAUCUUUUAUGGUUGAAAAUUCCGAUGGUUAGAGAUGGGCAUGCGUUGUAUUAGCUAGUUGGUGGGGUAACGGCUCACCAAGGCGACGAUACAUAGGGGGACUGAGAGGUUAACCCCCCACACUGGUACUGAGACACGGACCAG